Molecule: ribosomal RNA, 393 nt
Filed under: uncultured bacterium
Lineage: Bacteria
Description: partial 16S ribosomal RNA
Rfam family: Bacterial small subunit ribosomal RNA
Source: RNAcentral
AUACGGAGGAUGCAAGCGUUAUCCGGAUUUAUUGGGUUUAAAGGGUGCGUAGGCGGUUUGCUAAGCGGGAGGUGAAAUGCCGGCGCUCAACGUCGGAAGUGCCUCCCGAACUGGUGGACUUGAAUGACUCUGCCGUGGGAGGAAUGUGUAGUGUAGCGGUGAAAUGCUUAGAGAUUACACAGAACACCGAUUGCGAAGGCAUCUCACGAAGGGUUGAUUGACGCUGAGGCACGAAAGCGUGGGGAUCAAACAGGAUUAGAUACCCUGGUAGUCCACGCAGUAAACGAUAAUGGCUAACCGCUGGGCUUAUCAGUUCAGUGGCCAAGCGAAAGCGAUAAGCCAUCCACCUGGGGAGUACGACCGCAAGGUUGAAACUCAAAUGAAUUGACGGGG